GGGUGAGUAACGCGUAAGUAAUCUACCCUGGUAUCUGGGAUAACCCACCGAAAGGUGUGCUAAUACCGGAUACGCUGAGCAAUCAGGAAAGGUGGCCUCUUCAUGAAAGCUACUGUACCAGGAGGAGCUUGCGUACCAUUAGCUAGUUGGUAGGGUAAUGGCCUACCAAGGCGACGAUGGUUAGCGGGUCUGAGAGGAUGAUCCGCCACACUGGAACUGGAACACGGACCAGACUCCUACGGGAGGCAGCAGUGAGGAAUAUUGCGCAAUGGGGGAAACCCUGACGCAGCGACGCCGCGUGGAUGAUGAAGGCCUUCGGGUCGUAAAAUCCUGUCAGGUGGAAAGAAAUGUAGUAUGCCUAAUACGUGUACUAUUUGACGGUACCACCAAAGGAAGCACCGGCUAACUCCGUGCCAGCAGCCGCGGUAAUACGGAGGGUGCAAGCGUUGUUCGGAAUUACUGGGCGUAAAGCGCGCGUAGGCGGCUGUUUAAGUCAGAUGUGAAAGUCCACGGCUCAACCGUGGAAGUGCAUUUGAAACUGGAUGGCUUGAGUACUGGAGGGGGUGGUGGAAUUCCCGGUGUAGAGGUGAAAUUCGUAGAUAUCGGGAGGAAUACCGGUGGCGAAGGCGACCACCUGGCCAGAUACUGACGCUGAGGUGCGAAA
RNAcentral lists this ribosomal RNA (664 nucleotides) under Desulfobulbaceae bacterium PR6_F05. Its description in RNAcentral is "bacterial SSU rRNA". It matches the Rfam family "Bacterial small subunit ribosomal RNA", at positions 104 to 758 of the family's 1533-position model. The record is from RNAcentral. Lineage: Bacteria; Pseudomonadati; Thermodesulfobacteriota; Desulfobulbia; Desulfobulbales; Desulfobulbaceae.